GAAUGCUGACAUAAGUAACGAUAAAGCGGGUGAAAAGCCCGCUCGCCGGAAGACCAAGGGUUCCUGUCCAACGUUAAUCGGGGCAGGGUGAGUCGACCCCUAAGGCGAGGCCGAAAGGCGUAGUCGAUGGGAAACAGGUUAAUAUUCCUGUACUUGGUGUUACUGCGAAGGGGGGACGGAGAAGGCUAUGUUGGCCGGGCGACGGUUGUCCCGGUUUAAGCGUGUAGGCUGGUUUUCCAGGCAAAUCCGGAAAAUCAAGGCUGAGGCGUGAUGACGAGGCACUACGGUGCUGAAGCGACAAAUGCCCUGCUUCCAGGAAAAGCCUCUAAGCAUCAGGUAACAUCAAAUCGUACCCCAAACCGACACAGGUGGUCAGGUAGAGAAUACCAAGGCGCUUGAGAGAACUCGGGUGAAGGAACUAGGCAAAAUGGUGCCGUAACUUCGGGAGAAGGCACGCUGAUAUGUAGGUGAAGCGACUUGCUCGUGGAGCUGAAAUCAGUCGAAGAUACCAGCUGGCUGCAACUGUUUAUUAAAAACACAGCACUGUGCAAACACGAAAGUGGACGUAUACGGUGUGACGCCUGCCCGGUGCCGGAAGGUUAAUUGAUGGGGUUAGCGGUAACGCGAAGCUCUUGAUCGAAGCCCCGGUAAACGGCGGCCGUAACUAUAACGGUCCUAAGGUAGCGAAAUUCCUUGUCGGGUAAGUUCCGACCUGCACGAAUGGCGUAAUGAUGGCCAGGCUGUCUCCACCCGAGACUCAGUGAAAUUGAACUCGCUGUGAAGAUGCAGUGUACCCGCGGCAAGACGGAAAGACCCCGUGAACCUUUACUAUAGCUUGACACUGAACAUUGAGCCUUGAUGUGUAGGAUAGGUGGGAGGCUUUGAAGUGUGGACGCCAGUCUGCAUGGAGCCGACCUUGAAAUACCACCCUUUAAUGUUUGAUGUUCUAACGUGGGCCCCUUACCGGGGUUGCGGACAGUGUCUGGUGGGUAGUUUGACUGGGGCGGUCUCCUCCUAAAGAGUAACGGAGGAGCACGAAGGUUGGCUAAUCCUGGUCGGACAUCAGGAGGUUAGUGCAAUGGCAUAAGCCAGCUUGACUGCGAGCGUGACGGCGCGAGCAGGUGCGAAAGCAGGUCAUAGUGAUCCGGUGGUUCUGAAUGGAAGGGCCAUCGCUCAACGGAUAAAAGGUACUCCGGGGAUAACAGGCUGAUACCGCCCAAGAGUUCAUAUCGACGGCGGUGUUUGGCACCUCGAUGUCGGCUCAUCACAUCCUGGGGCUGAAGUAGGUCCCAAGGGUAUGGCUGUUCGCCAUUUAAAGUGGUACGCGAGCUGGGUUUAGAACGUCGUGAGACAGUUCGGUCCCUAUCUGCCGUGGGCGCUGGAGAACUGAGGGGGGCUGCUCCUAGUACGAGAGGACCGGAGUGGACGCAUCACUGGUGUUCGGGUUGUCAUGCCAAUGGCACUGCCCGGUAGCUAAAUGCGGAAGAGAUAAGUGCUGAAAGCAUCUAAGCACGAAACUUGCCCCGAGAUGAGUUCUCCCUGACUCCUUGAGAGUCCUGAAGGAACGUUG
RNAcentral lists this ribosomal RNA (1570 nucleotides) under Escherichia coli. RNAcentral's name for it is "partial 23S ribosomal RNA". It matches the Rfam family "Bacterial large subunit ribosomal RNA", at positions 1292 to 2840 of the family's 2925-position model. The record is from RNAcentral. Lineage: Bacteria; Pseudomonadati; Pseudomonadota; Gammaproteobacteria; Enterobacterales; Enterobacteriaceae.